This is a long non-coding RNA of Erinaceus europaeus (western European hedgehog), 441 nucleotides long. RefSeq lists it as uncharacterized. Lineage: Eukaryota; Metazoa; Chordata; Mammalia; Eulipotyphla; Erinaceidae. The transcript is spliced from 2 exons. The record is from RefSeq and is a predicted model, not a curated record.
GGGAGAGGUGACCAGGAGUUCAGCUGGGCCCUGGGACGCUCCCCUGGCUCUCUGGCAGCUAAGCUGCUCAGGUUGGGGCAACAGUUACAGUUCCGGAUGAAAAGUACACAAAGUUCCACUCCCUUCUCUCCAACACACCCCUUUGAUUUUUUUUUUUCUUUCUGCACCUUGAACCUGCCCAACAGGUUGCAAAGUUCAUCACAGCAUCGGCAAGGCUUAUUCUCAAGCCAUCUGAUUAUUUUAUGUGGCACCAGAUGUUCACUGGAUGUUGAGACUGCAGGUAGCCUUAGCACAGAAGCCAACAGUGAAACCAUUACUCCCUUAAGUUCUCUCGAAACUUGGAAAGAUGUCCUCAGCUUGCCUAGUUCUAGAGCGUGAAGGUGUAUCAUAGGACAUGUUACUGGUGCACGAACAGGAAAUAACGUUGUCAGCCAUUCCUGC